Molecule: ribosomal RNA, 155 nt
Filed under: Cordycipitaceae sp.
Lineage: Eukaryota; Fungi; Ascomycota; Sordariomycetes; Hypocreales; Cordycipitaceae
Description: partial large subunit ribosomal RNA
Rfam family: Eukaryotic large subunit ribosomal RNA
Source: RNAcentral
GUAACGGCGAGUGAAGCGGCAACAGCUCAAAUUUGAAAUCUGGCCCCUAGGGUCCGAGUUGUAAUUUGCAGAGGAUGCUUUUGACAAGGUGCCUUCCGAGUUCCCUGGAACGGGACGCCAUAGAGGGUGAGAGCCCCGUCUGGUCAUAGGCGCUU